AUUUAACUACCUGUGUUCUUGUAUUUGCAAAUAUUACCGAGCCUGUGCUUGUGAGCGUGUAUGUGUUGACUGUAUGUUAUUGUUUAUCAUAUUGCGCAUUCAAUUAAGAUAAUCAUCAGUGGAAAAUGUUAUAGAUGUAUUUGAGUUCGGUAUGGUAUUUGAAAUACAGCGUGACCUCAUUUAUUGCCAAAUCCUAUUAAGCUGUGCGAUUCUUCAAAAGGGAAUAUUGACUGUGGGAAAUUUUGAAGCUUAUGUGGUUGGCCAACUUUAUACAAUAUUUACAAAUGGCUAUAGAAUGCUGGUAACUUAAUCAGACAAAGCUUUCUAAGCAGAAUCACCCACUGCGUGUAGCUCACAUCUUUUUUAAGUAUUUAUAUGCAUGCAUAUAUCUGAAACCACUGCACAAAUUUAAGUGAUACGGUUGUAUAUGUGUAAGUGGGAAAAAAAAAUUUUUUUUUUUGCUUCCCUGCAUUACAUAGACACUUAUGACUCAUCUCUCAUUGUGAGUUUAUGUGCAGUUCUACAAGCUGUAAGUAGAAUUGCAGUAGCCUGUUCUAAUGAUUUAUUUUUUUUCAAGUGUCUUUGCAGAAUUUAAUUUAAAGAUAUGUGACUUGUAAACAAAACAAAUCUGAUUUUAGUAGUGUUUUUUUUUUUUUUUUUUUUUUUUUUUUUUUUGGUUUGUUUAUCUCUUCUCUCCCCCCCCUUAAAGUUGAUUUUUAGUUUUUCUUCUCAAAUCUCUUGGAGGAAAGGGACAGAGAAGAUGGCAGGUGGUAAUCUGUCUGCCUAAUAGUAUUACAAAGGGAUGUAUGCUCUUAGGGUCCUGUAUUAAUGAAAAGAUAAUAUUCUAGUUUGCUCUUUGUAUGCACCUAGCUGUCAUCUUUAAGCUAUACUUUGAAGUAAAUGCUAGCUUGGACCAAACUUGAUGUAUUCAGUCCUGUUUACCUUGAAUUAAUUCUAAAGAUAAAUAGUUAAAUUUCAAAUAGCAGUUGAUCUGUCUAUUUUGGAACUGGCAGUCUUUAAACCAUGAUAUUGGGAGAUGUUCUCGUAAAGUCUAACACCGUAAUACAGGAUUAAUUUAAUCGUGCUGCUAAAGCUUGCACACUCAUUGAAAGUCUGCAAGUGCCUAAAUACAAGAUGAUCGUGUUUAAAUUAUACAGUUUUACAAACUGAGUAUUUGGAUUGCACAGGUUCUUGGGUGGAGAUCUCAGUAGAUGACCUGGUGUAGCCCACUGUGCAUGUAUUAACUGAUAAGAUUAUUGGAAACUGCCAUAGUAAACGCAGAUUUAUAUAGUCCCCAUGCCAACUGUUAUUACUUACCCUGUAUUAUUUUUAUUAAACCUAUAUUUCUAUGUAACUUCCAUAAUUCUAUGCCUCGUUCCUCUAAACGGGCUACAUUUAGCCAGUAAAGCACCAUAUGGCAGAGAAAUAAAUGUAAAAUAUUCAGUCUUUCUAUGUCGUUCAGAGGGGCUUUAAACAUCUGCUAUCCUUCAUCUACUUUGUGCAGAAGCCUUUGUAUGCCAAAGUACAAUGGUUGUAAGAUAUAUGUAUAUCUAUCUCUAUAUCUCUUAUCCCCCAACAUAUACUCUUUGGAGGGUGGGGGGGGGGAGGUUGUGUAAAUGUUUCCGCUUUUAUUUUUUUUCUAUAGUGUGAAAUGUUAUGUCUUAAGAUUUUUUUAUUUUUUUUCCUUGCAACUAGGUGUCAAAUGUAGCAAAGCGAUGCAGAUUGCCUCUACAGCAGGGUUGCCCAAAAGGUGGAUCCCCAGAUGUUUUAAAACUACAGAUUCCAUGAUGCCUUGUCAUUCUAAAAAGGCACACAAAAGAAUCAUGGGUGGGAGUUGUAGUUCUUCAACAUCUUGGGAUCUACCCUUUGGGCACUUCUUCUCUACAGCAGUCUCCGUGAUAGUGGACUUCUACUUCCCUCCCCGAGCUCUGCCCCUACAUACAUGUAUACUUUAACUUAUAUGUUUUGUGUAAAAUCAUGAAAGGAACAUAAAGCACCAUAACCACAACAAAUAUAUUCAUGUCUUAUUGUGCUUACAAUGUCCAUAUAAGUUUGCCAUCUAGUUAUUCUUUCACAAAUCCUAUUUAUUUCUAUAUAAGAGCUUUGACACGUGAAAAUAGAAUUUUUUACCUCUCAGGAUUAAAAUGUUUUGGGGUUUUUUUUUCGUUUUUUUUUUUUUCAUUGGGAGUCUUAUUGAGAUGUGCAAAUUGCUCAUGUCUAUUGAUUACAAGGAGAACGAGGGGGCGGCGGCAAGAUCAUCUUUCUACCCUAUGUCUAAACAAGGGAGGGAAAUUAGAUUAUUAAAAAAAACCUAUAGGAAUGGUAGCGAGGAAAUUAUUUUAUGCAUUAUCUUCCCCCAUCCGGUUUCUCUGCCUCUUUUAAAUCCUUUUAAAUGUAACUUGGCCAUAUUAAUUGAGUACCAAUUUUAAUGCUGCUUGCAUUGUGCUUUCCAUGGCGAUUGAGGGAUGGCUUACACAUUUUAUCCAAUGUUGUCUUGACUGCUGUUUAAACGGUUUGUUACUUCUAGCUAUGUCAUUCUAGAACAAGUUGGAAAGUUAAUAUGCCAAACAUUCUUUUUUAUUAUAAAAAUGUUUUAACUCUUAAAGGGCUGUCAAGUAUGCCAUAUCAGUUACUCUUUUUCUCAAAGCAUUGGUUAUAUUACCAGUCUGUAAUUAAGUUGGGGGGAAAAAACCCUUUGUGAAUACAAACACACUUUGUAUGUAUGGAAUGUUACAGAAAAGUCUGUUACAUUACAUAUUGACUGUGUAAUGGGAUUCAGCAUUGUGAUGAGAAAAUAUGCCAGUGUAAUUUUAUUUUAUUUUUCUUCAUUGUAUUGUAAUAAGCACUAUUUGACGAUGCCGGAUUGUCUUUUAAGUACUACCUCUUAUCACUGCUUGUACUUUGUUGUCUGUCAAUUAAUUCAUCAUAUUUUAUAAUUUGUCUGUCUUCCAUUCUGAUCGCAUUUCUUCAUUGGACCAAUUUUGACAUGUGUCACAAUGCUUGUCUUUUGAAUUUUAUUUUAUAUUUUUACUAUGAGAUUACAAUUUCCUCAGUUUUUUUUAAAAUUUUUGUUGAUAAUAAAAUGCAUUAGCCUGUAUUAAAUAUCUUCAGUGAGAGCCGGAAGCUCUCCCAAGUAUUUCUGUUGACGUUUUCUACCUAGUUAUCAGUUUAUUGUAAAUACUAUUUUGAUUGGAGAACAAGUCACGGGUAAUGCAAUUUUAAACGGGAUCUAUGUUUAAAAUGAAAUUUAAAAAAUAAAGUUAAAAUCCACUGCCCUAGAUAAGAGGGGGAUUUCUUCCCCAAAAUAAUUUGUAAAAGCACUGCUUUGAUAUUAUAAAUUAGUCUCUUAGAAGAUGCUGAUUGGUGUGGAGUUUUGCAGUGCCUCUGAGAGUCUCCCAAUGGUUAUCUAUGGCAAAGCAUUGGAUUGGCUGAGAUCAUCCAGAUUGACUAUCUCAGCCAUGGAGGUCAGCCACCGCAAAGAAGUAAAGCAAGUAAAAUAUCUCUUCAUUGCAAUCUGAAGGGAACCGGUGCCUAAACUGCUACCCUAGCGCUAUAGUGUUAGAAUACAUGUUUGCAUUUGUAAUACUGUAGUGUUCCUUUAUAGCAACACCCCCAUGCACCAUAACCACAAUAGCUCACUAUAGUGGUUGUGUCAUUAGUGCCCUGACAGCCCCUGGGGUAAAAAAGAAAAAUUAAAACCAUUGCAAAAUUGUUUUUGACAAGUUGACAAGCUGGGGUGCUGCUUGCCACCUCUUCCAUCUGGAAGUCUCUUGCACUAAACUAAGACCUAUGGUACAGGGAGGUGUUCGUUGGAUGAGAACACUCAGCUGGCGAUCUCAGCCCAUGAGCCAUCCUGCACUGCAGAGUUUGGCUCUAGAAAACUAUUGUUAUUUGCAGGAGCUCCAUCUUAAGAGAAAGUGGGAACUUGAGUCCAAGAGACUCUCGGUAACUUGUGACUACUCCUGUCACGUAGCUGUUCCUGCGGGCUUCAGUUGUCAUGGUGCUUGGAGUGCCUCUUUAAGAACACAUUUAGCAUUCCCAUGCUCAAAACCGAAGGCCGCUACCAUGAGCAUUAGUAGACUUUGUCCCUAUGCAUAGACUGAUCUUGUUUCUAGCAAUCCUUUUUUUUUUUUUUUUUUUUUUAAACAUUUUUUAAUCAAUUUUAAGGAAAAGCAACUGAAUUUAUUUUAAAAAAGUAGAUUUUUUUUUAAAAUAAUUUUUAGGAUCUUUAAGCUAUUUUGAUCAGUUUUGCUUACUGUAGUAGAUCUCACUGAAGAUAUUUAUUUUUGCUACAGGUGUACAUUACAUUGAACAUGAUAUAUGUAAUGUUUCUACCCAAUAUGAGGGGGGGGGGAGAAAACCUUAUGUAUUGUCUUCAUUAUUGCCUUCAUUUUUUUGACUUGACAAUUUGUAUAAACUGUCAUUAUGUGCCAUAUUAUAUUUGAAAUCUUCA
Molecule: non-coding RNA, 4453 nt
Organism: Pelobates cultripes (western spadefoot toad)
Lineage: Eukaryota; Metazoa; Chordata; Amphibia; Anura; Pelobatidae
Source: the annotation of a GenBank genome assembly